AUUAAAGUUGCUGCGGUUAAAAAGCUCGUAGUUGGAUUACGAAGUGGUGUUUAAAUGUCAUUUUGGUUUGUUUUGUCUUUCGGGGCAUUCAGGUCAACUUGGCUUUUACUCACUGUUGUCAUUGUCUUUGCCCAAGGUAUAUGCCUUGUGUGCAUGGCAUUGACCUUCUAUUUUAUGGUAAUGUUGUAUCUUUCGGGGUACAUUCAUUCCAUAUAGUUUACUUUGAAAAAAUUAGGGUGUUUAAAGCAGGCGAAAAGGCUUCGGAAUAUAUUAGCAUGGGAUAAUAGAAUACGAUCUAGGUCGUAAUUUGUUGGUUUCUACGGCUUAGGUAAUGAUUGACAGGGAUAGUUGGGGUCGCUCGUAUUGAGUUGUCAGAGGUGAAAUUCUAGGAUUAACUCAAGACGAACUAAUGCGAAAGCAUUCGGCAAGGAUGUUUUCAUUAAUCAAGAACGAAAGUUGGGGGAUCGAAGAUGAUCAGAUACCGUCGUAGUCUCAACUUAAACUAUGUCGACCGAGGAUCCGGUAGCGUUACAUGGAUGACCUUCCGGGCACUCUGUGAGAAAUCAUAAGUAUUUGGAUUUCGGGGGGAGUAUGGUCGCAAGGCUGAAACUUAAAGGGAUUGACGGAAGGGCACCACCAGGAGUGGAAUCUGCGGCUUAAUUUGACUCAACACGGGAAAACUUACCAGGUCCGGACACAGUGAGGAUUGACAGAUUGAGAGCUCUUUCUUGAUUUUGUGGGUGGUGGUGCAUGGCCGUUUUUAGUUGGUGGAGUGAUUUGUCUGGUUAAUUCCGUUAACGAACGAGACCUUAACCUAUUAAAUAGCUGCGCGAACCCAGGUUCUUUAACCAUUCUCUCCUUCGGAGGGGCGUGGUAUCAUUAUUUUGCUUUUCACUUUCGGGUGGGAGGUAGGGUAGUGAUAGGGCCUGAGAUGAGUUGGUGAUUUGGCUUCUUAGAGGGACUACUUGCAUCCUUAGCAAGGGGAGGUUUGAGGCAAAAACAGGUCUGUGAUGCCCUUCGAUGUUCUGGGCUGCACGCGCGUUACACUGGCGCAUGCAAAGAGUUUAAAAUUCCUGUCCCGAUGGGGUUGGAAAUCUUUUUAAAGUGCGUCGUGAUGGGGAUAGAGCAUUGAAAUUAUUGCUCUUGAACGAGGAAUUCCUAGUAAUUGCAGGUCAUCAACCUGCAAUGAUUACGUCCCUGCCCUUUGUACACACCACCCGUCGCUCCUACCGAUGGUUGAACCGAUGAGGACUCGGGAUGAUCUUAUUAGAUCGGUCGGUCGAAAGAUCGAUAGACUAUUAGGUCAGAACUUGUUCAAAUCUUUUUAA
RNAcentral lists this ribosomal RNA (1328 nucleotides) under metagenome. RNAcentral's name for it is "SSU rRNA". It matches the Rfam family "Eukaryotic small subunit ribosomal RNA", at positions 603 to 1772 of the family's 1831-position model. The record is from RNAcentral.